GUGUGGAGAAGGAAGCGUGCGGUGCCCCAGGGGGCUGUGAGCGGCAUCGUUCCCUGCCCUGUAGGUGCAGGCUCUGCUCGGGUGGACUUGCUCCCUGUCCAGCCUGCUCGCCGUGGUCGCUGUGGCGUACGCAGUGGACGACACCUCUGCCACCCCUUCAGUGGCCGCUGCUGUCUACCAGGCCGUGCACCGGAGCCUGUGGGCGGUGGCCGUGGGCUGGGUCGUGUUCGCCUGUCACGAAGGCUAUGGAGGUCUGGUAAACCAGCUGCUUGCUUGUGGUAUGUGGAGCUUCCUGGCCAGCAUCAGUUAUGCCUGCUACUUGGUGCAUCCCAUCGUCAUCAUCCUCUACAACGGCCUCCAGGAGACGCUCAUUCACUACACGGACACCAACAUGUUCUAUCUUUUCUCUGGACACUGUCUGCUGACCUUCGUCGCUGGGCUGGCCCUGACGCUCUUCAUUGAGAAACCGUGUCAGGAACUGAAGCAGUGCCUUCUGGGACCGAUACCUGAAGGGCCAGGAACGGCCUAGUAAAACCCCAAAGACGGAAGGCCCUUUUUUGGUGGUAAAGGGCAAAAGCAGGGGUGGCCUCGUUUAUGUAACAAAUGGGUGAGUUUCUGAAAAGGGGCGUGAAGCUGAUUUUGUGGAUGUUUAUAGUAUGAAGUUCCCUGUAUUUAAUCUAUAAAAGAGUUCUAAGUAUUUAAUAUAUAAAAGAGUUCUAUGAUCAUCUGUUUAGUAGCAUAAUAAUUACCCUUUGAUGUGUUUUUUAGCAAAAAAUAUUCUGGAUAUUUAUGGUCUCAUCCUGUAUUUAUUUUCUAUAUUAGUGAUCACAGAAAAACAUCAAAUAUAGUGAAUAGGAUGUAAUUUGGUUGUUAAAAUGCUAACGUUCCUUAUUAAAAUCACACUGUAGUUCUCCUCAUCAUAGUAGUUUCUGUGUUAUUCUCAUACCUUUGUAGACUCAUAACUUUUUUGGAUCCUCAGGAUGG
Long non-coding RNA from Myotis myotis, 984 nucleotides. RefSeq lists it as uncharacterized. The record is from RefSeq and is a predicted model, not a curated record. The transcript has 3 exons. NCBI's taxonomy places the organism in Eukaryota, Metazoa, Chordata, Mammalia, Chiroptera, Vespertilionidae.